Lucilia sericata (common green bottle fly) is the source of this 937-nucleotide long non-coding RNA. RefSeq lists it as uncharacterized. NCBI's taxonomy places the organism in Eukaryota, Metazoa, Arthropoda, Insecta, Diptera, Calliphoridae. The record is from RefSeq and is a predicted model, not a curated record. The transcript is spliced from 2 exons.
ACCCUACUACAAAGUGUAAAUAUAAAAAAUAUUGUUUAAUUUGUUAACAUUUAAUAGAAAAAUAUUAUUGUUAUAUUAAGUUGGUACAAGCGUACCAAUUAUUCAUUAAUUACAUAAGAAAAAUAUUCGUUUACAAAAUGCUUUGUAUUUUCAGAGUUUUUACAUAAAUUAUUCAAAAUACUAACGAAGUUUUUCUGUGUUUUAACGAACAUUUUUAUAUAUAAAAUGUAAACAAUAACAAACUCUGACAUCAGUGCGUACCAGUCAAGUGAAGAAAAAAUAGUCAGCUGAUUGAAUAGCACCACCUUAUCUGAAUUCGCCUUGAUUAUGACUAAAAUUUUAUUUUAUAAAUAGCCGUCGCUUAAUUUUUUCAAACAAGCCGCCGAAUUCCUCAUUAGCCGCCUCCGAAAAUUUUGUUUCGGCUUGUUUCUCUGACCCUCUUGUAGUGAAACAAAAAAUGUUCUUUAUCCAAAAUUUCUUCGAUAUUUUUUUUUCCAUUUAAAUCUGUGAACCAAUUUAAGUUGUCUGCAAUUAUGUGAUUAUUGGAGCAGCCAUCACAUUUUACAAUUACAACACCUUUUUCGUAAGCUAUUUUGGAGAUUGUUUUCAUAUUUCUUUUUGAACAAAUUUUACAGGUAUAAAUAAGUUGAAGUUUUUUAUUCAAUUUGCCAGUAGAAUCACAAUCUUCGGUACUUUUUAAACUCUGUAUAUUUUCUGGCACGCAAACUCUCUGUGCCAAAUUCCUAGCUGGAACCAACAAUGUACAAAAAUUGUGAUGCAAAAAAUGGUGUUGUAUCCUUACAUUUCCAAUUUUUAAUAUUCCAUUUCUUAGCAGCUUGCAGAUCAAAGACAUUAUAUUCCUUGUCAAAUACCAAAUUGUAUAUAUAAAUAAAUGUAUAAAUAAAUAAAUACACUUUGAACAAAUAUUCCCAACGAA